UACGGAGGGUGCGAGCGUUGUUCGGAAUUACUGGGCGUAAAGGGCGCGUAGGCGGCACAGCAAGUCGGGAGUGAAAGCCCGGGGCUCAACCGUGGAACGGCCUCGGAUACGGGCGGCCUGGAGGCGGGUAGGGGCAGGCGGAACUGCGGGUGGAGCGGUGAAAUGCGUUGAGAUCCACAGGAACUCCGGUGGCGAAGGCGGCCUGCUGGACCCGAACUGACGCUGAGGCGCGAAAGCCAGGGGAGCGAACGGG
RNAcentral lists this ribosomal RNA (253 nucleotides) under uncultured bacterium. Its description in RNAcentral is "partial 16S ribosomal RNA". It matches the Rfam family "Bacterial small subunit ribosomal RNA", at positions 524 to 776 of the family's 1533-position model. The record is from RNAcentral.